GCACUACCGAAGAUGACCCUCCAGCUAGUGGCUGAGUCUGAAAAGCAAAAGAAGAACUUUCAUAAGGAGCAAACUUUCUUAGAGCAGUGGGUAAGAAAGAAACUUGAAAAUAAGCCUUCCGGGCUUCUACCGACUUGGAAGGUGAAGUCAAAACUGAAGGACUGGAGUUACCGCCUUUCUGUCUUCAGCUUCACGAUGCUCCCCUUGGCGAAAAACGCACUAAAUCGUCUCGGAGUUCGAAGCAUUCAGCAAACAAUGGCAAGGCAGAACCACCAGAAGCAGGCACCUGAUUUCCAUGACAAAUACGGUAAUGCUGUAUUAGCCAGUGGAGCCGCUUUCCACGUUGCUGUAUGGGCAUAUACAGCAACACAAAUUGGAAUAGAAUGGAACCUGUCCCCUGUUUGCAGAGUCACCCCAAAGGAAUGGAGAGAACACUAAUCAUCCCAGCUGGUUUCAUACUGAAUUGUUUCAAAAUCAACUCAUAAUUGAUGCCAAGUUAAAAGCAUUAUGUACCCAUUAACAUAUGGCGUGAUUGUAGAAAAUAAAGUACAUUUGAAAACUU
Delphinapterus leucas (beluga whale) is the source of this 562-nucleotide non-coding RNA. NCBI's taxonomy places the organism in Eukaryota, Metazoa, Chordata, Mammalia, Artiodactyla, Monodontidae. The record is from RefSeq and is a predicted model, not a curated record.